Molecule: ribosomal RNA, 814 nt
Filed under: uncultured bacterium
Lineage: Bacteria
Description: bacterial SSU rRNA
Rfam family: Bacterial small subunit ribosomal RNA
Source: RNAcentral
CAAGUCGAACGGUAACAUAAAGAAGCUUGCUUCUUUGAUGACGAGUGGCGGACGGGUGAGUAAUGCUUGGGAAUCUGGCUUAUGGAGGGGGAUAACUACGGGAAACUGUAGCUAAUACCGCGUAGAAUCGGGAGAUGAAAGUGUGGGACCUUCGGGCCACAUGCCAUAGGAUGAGCCCAAGUGGGAUUAGGUAGUUGGUGAGGUAAAGGCUCACCAAGCCGACGAUCUCUAGCUGGUCUGAGAGGAUGACCAGCCACACUGGGACUGAGACACGGCCCACACUCCUACGGGAGGCAGCAGUGGGGAAUAUUGCGCAAUGGGGGCAACCCUGACGCAGCCAUGCCGCGUGAAUGAAGAAGGCCUUCGGGUUGUAAAGUUCUUUCGGUAGCGAGGAAGGCAUUUAGUUUAAUAGACUAGGUGAUUGACGUUAACUACAGAAGAAGCACCGGCUAACUCCGUGCCAGCAGCCGCGGUAAUACGGAGGGUGCGAGCGUUAAUCGGAAUAACUGGGCGUAAAGGGCACGCAGGCGGUGACUUAAGUGAGGUGUGAAAGCCCCGGGCUUAACCUGGGAAUUGCAUUUCAUACUGGGUCGCUAGAGUACUUUAGGGAGGGGUAGAAUUCCACGUGUAGCGGUGAAAUGCGUAGAGAUGUGGAGGAAUACCGAAGGCGAAGGCAGCCCCUUGGGAAUGUACUGACGCUCAUGUGCGAAAGCGUGGGGAGCAAACAGGAUUAGAUACCCUGGUAGUCCCACGCUGUAAACGAUGUCGAUUUGGGGGUUGCACUUUAAGUUUGGCGCCCGUAGCUAACGUGAUA